Molecule: long non-coding RNA, 652 nt
Filed under: Homo sapiens (human)
Lineage: Eukaryota; Metazoa; Chordata; Mammalia; Primates; Hominidae
Description: HSALNT0092929
Source: RNAcentral
GUAAUAUUUAUUUUCAAGGGAAACGAAAAUUAUGUGGUUAUACAAGGGUUUUUGGAAAGAAACACAGACAAAAUAAAGACACUGCACUAAGCUGGCUGCACCAACUUAAAUUUCAAGGGGGCUGCAUCCUAAUGACACAUCAUGGAGGAGAUGAAGAUGUAACAAUUAAAUCCAGCUAAUCAGGGGACAUGAAUAUUUCAGUGCACGCUAAAUACUGAUGUGAUUCCCCAGGCGGAAACUCCCACAGAGAAUGACUCUGUGACACCCUUGAAAGAGAAAGCAGCAGGAAGAAUAAAGAGGAGGCCACCAUGAUGGGCUGAUAAAAGAAACGUUUCCUUGGGGUUUACGUUUAUUGGUUGUUUCUGACUUUCUCUAAAUGGCGGUGGUUACCGGGCAGCCUCCAAGAACGGAAGCAGCUGUGGCAAGGGAAUUCUCCAGAAUCUGUGAGGUUUCUAGCUACGAAGAGCUUCAGUGAUAUCUGCUUGUCACCAGCAAGUCCUGGAACUCAUCAGUAACUGACCCUACUACAUGAGCCCCUACAUAAGGAAGGCUCUCCCUUCUCACCCUCAUGAUCCAUCUCCCAUGGUUCUUAGCAAACCAUCAGUGCCAUGUUUUGACCAAGAAAAAGUAAAAUGGAAAGCUAUCCAAAUGU